RNAcentral lists this long non-coding RNA (675 nucleotides) under Hordeum vulgare. Its description in RNAcentral is "long non-coding RNA (HVUL_LNC018297)". Lineage: Eukaryota; Viridiplantae; Streptophyta; Magnoliopsida; Poales; Poaceae. The record is from RNAcentral.
AGGCAUUCCUUUUCUUGAACAUAACAUGUCAAUAACCUUAAACGAAAAAAAAACUUUUGAUAUAACAUGCAGGCUUCGUUUAUAUAAUUUGACAGUACUAUUCAUACAAAAGCACAUCUGAUUAGGACCUGCCUCUCAAAAAAAAUAUGAUUAGGACUUAAAAGUGGUCUUCAGCCACCUGGUCAACUGAUCUGUGAGGAACCAAAGGUAAUUCAUUAUUCAGAAAGAGCUUGUAAAGGGACACCAAUCUUCAUAUGCACCAACCAACAAGCACAGCAAAAGACAAAAGCAAGCGCAAAGGAAAAUCAAUCACUCUUCUUACGCCAUACUUCAGUCACCUCAUGUGAAAAUAGCAACAAACAAAAACUUUUUAAUUUGGCUUUGGCUCACUGCUGUACCCCUAAGAGAGCGGCUGCAUCCUUAGCAGCCAACUUUGGACGCUAAGAUAAGACACAUCAGUUUUCUAUCUCCAAUUACAUUUUAAGCUUCAUUUGUCAUAUCUCUUAGCACCACCUGUAGGUGUUAAGAACCUAAAAAAACCAUUUACACUAAAAAGGAUAUACAUAAACUGAUUUAAAAUAACUUUUAGCUCUGUACUAAAUGCUAAGCUUAGCGCCUACCCUCAUAUCCCUUGGCACUGAUGCUGACCAAUGUCUCACCUUUAGCAUCUGCUCC